GUGUAAGGUAAUUGUAACUGUAGCGAAAAUUCAAAAUGGUCGUGAGCCGACGGGUGUUUUAAAUUGAUUGACGGGUGAUUUAAAUUGCAAAUUAUUAAGACUCACCUCACAUUUUCACGACAACACCACGCUGUAAGCCACCUUCUUGUCUAUUGAGCCCGUGAACCAGCCUAGUUCCUGGCCUUCUCGCUUCCGCCUCAUUAUUUUAGGGGGAAAUUGAUAAGGUUUGCAGGUUGACCGUGAUAAAGCUGUAUUAUUUGGAGACUGGGGAAACUGACAGCCCGCAAGUUCACGACAGCCUGUAACUCGUCCGCGCUUGGAAGGCCAGGGACUAGGCUGCCCGUGAACUAUACUUUCCAGUUGAUUACUUUAUAUUAGCCUAAUAUAGAUAAUCUAAACUUACAGAUGGUACUCACUGUGCUGAGCACCGACCCGAUCAUUAAGAAAACAUUUUUCUUUUUUCUCAAAAUUUGGCCGGACAAAAUUUCCGAUCAUUUCAGCAUUUGGUCGGAAAAAUCGGAAUUUGGUCGGAAAACCGCCGGCCGUUAUUUCAGGCUCUGUGUGAAAGGGGCGUCGCUAGCCCUAUUUAAAUGGGGGGGGGGGGAUGUAAGUUAAUUUUUGACGUUGGUGUCACCACCUCAUCCCCGCCUCUAGCGACGAACCUGUAGCUAUAAAUAGAACUACAUCUAUAAAUUCAAAACUAAAAUUCCUUAGAGGUUCUUACUUAUGUUACAGCAGAAUAUUUUUGGGGUAAGAAGCAGAAUAUUGCAGAAUAUUAUAUACGGCAAAAAAUAAAUAAUUAUAGCUUUGGAGUUUGAGGUACCCAGCUCAACCUUAUAGUCAGUAGCUCAACCUUAGUCACGCAGAGUGGAUUAAAUGCACAGCUCGUGGAUACAGAAUGGAAGCAGAAUAAGCAAGGAAGUUCAAAGCUGAAGCCCAAACGACAAAACAAGACAGACGCCAUCGAAGAAAACGAAAGAGGAACUGAACAUUAUAUAUUAAACACUAUCUUAAUUUAGUCUUACUAUUAUAAAGUUUCAGUCCCCUUGCAUGUGCAUAAAUAAUGGUACUUUUUCUAUAUAUGACAACUUAAUCAAAUUGAUGUGGCCUUUUUAUAUACAGUCACCUCUAUUACACGGACAUUUUGGAAAUUCCGCUGCUUAAAAAAGAAAAUUCCACACGCUAACAAGCUGAACGUAUUUGCAUAAAAAUUAAAAUCUCUCCCACCGAGUUUUAGAACUUGGUCGUGCUCCAAAGCUGAUUAAUAAACGCUAGAACAUAUUUUCAUUCAUCUUAUAACUUUUUCGAAAUUCGUAAGUUUUAUACUAAAGUUUAUGUUUGAGAAGAAAGUAAUUUGAUCGUCGUCAACUUAUUCUACUGAUGUACAGUUUUUUAUCAGAGUACAAAUAGCUGGUAUUUGCUUGGCUUAUGUCGCUUUGCAUGGGAUGAUAUAGAUAAUUGUUUAUUUGCUCGGUAAGUGCUUACUCAUCAUAUACUAAAUAGAAAUGACAGAAACUUUGAUAUAUUGAUAUAAUUAC
Non-coding RNA from Paramuricea clavata, 1538 nucleotides. The record is from the annotation of a GenBank genome assembly. NCBI's taxonomy places the organism in Eukaryota, Metazoa, Cnidaria, Anthozoa, Malacalcyonacea, Plexauridae.